RNAcentral lists this ribosomal RNA (1326 nucleotides) under Triticum aestivum (bread wheat). RNAcentral's name for it is "partial small subunit ribosomal RNA". Lineage: Eukaryota; Viridiplantae; Streptophyta; Magnoliopsida; Poales; Poaceae. The record is from RNAcentral.
AUGACGCACAACGGGGGAAGCUGGAUGACCAAGGCGCGAAUGCCACUGAGACGGCUUGACACGAACACCGUUGAAGACCUGGGAAGCUCGAGGUGCAUCAAGUGGAUAGAGACCAUGUUCAUAAUGACCACUAAGAAAAACAUCCCUCGUUGCGCAGUUGUCAGGGCGGCCCUUGCGGAGGCAUUGGUGCACUACUACCCGCUCGCAGGCCAUCUCCGGGAGGCUCCCGGGGGUAGACUAGUUGUCGAGUGCAUCGGGGAUGGCAUGGUGUUCGUGGAGGCAGAGGCAGAUGUGUCCCUGGAUGAGCUUGGCGAACCGCCGCUGGCAGCAUGCCCAUUCGUAGAAGAACUGUUGUGCGAUGUGGGCGACCUUAGGGUUGUCCUUGGAGUUCCCUUGUUCUUCAUGCAGGUAACCCAACUCAGAUGCGGGGGAUUUGUGAUUGGUCUUCACAUAUGCCAGAAUAUCGCCGACGGCUACAGCAGCACCCAAUUCCUAAAAUGUAUCGUUGACUUGGCAUGUACCAGGGGUGACGCCUCCCAAAUUGUAUCGCCGGUGUGGAAUAGGGAUCUCCUAACAACACACAUCCCUUCGCACAUAAACCCGGCCUAUGAGGAAUUCCUCCAACGAUUAGGCACCACCGCCGACGACAUCAUGUUGUCAACACCGCUAGAAGAAAUGGUCGGUCGCUUCUUCCUCUUCGGCCCAGGGGACAUGGCAUCGCUACGAAGGCAUGCCCCCGCGCACCUAACACCGCCGGUCACCAGCUUUGAGCUUCUGACUACGGUCAUGUGGCGUUGCCGCACAGUGGCACUUGGUUACAAGCUCCACCAGCGGGUGCGCCUGAUGUUUUCUCUAAAUGCGAGUGGGAGGUGGAAGCGUCAUGCGCUCGUCCCACGUGGGUUCUACGGGAAUGCACUCUUCUACCCUGCAGUACACACAACCGCCGAAGAACUGUGCUUCAACCCGCUUGGCUAUGCGCUCGGACUCAUCCGCGAGGCCAAGUGUGACAUGACAGACGACAACAUGGAGUCGAUGGUUGAUUUCACGGCCUCUAUGCGUGGGCAGCCACCUCUCACCAUGGACAGGAUGUACGAGGCCUCUGACAUCAAAUGGGUUGGGCAGGACGCGCUAGAUUUCGGAUGGGCGAAGCGGGUUGACGGCGGCGUACCGAUGGUUGGGGACAUCCCCUCCAAGUCCAUGAGCUACCACAUGAGGUACAGGAAUGGCAGCGGAACCGGGGCGUUCGAGCCCUUUUCUUCUAAAAAAAAACAUGCAAUGGACAAGUUCGAGAAGGAGAUUGCUGUUUGGGUUAACAACGAAAACUAG